UUUUAUUAUGAGAGUUUGAUCCUGGCUCAGGACGAACGCUGGCGGCGUGCCUAAUACAUGCAAGUCGAACGCCUCUUUUCCCACCGGAGCUUGCUCCACCGGGAAAAGAGGAGUGGCGAACGGGUGAGUAACACGUGGGUAACCUGCCCAUCAGAAGGGGAUAACACUUGGAAACAGGUGCUAAUACCGUAUAACAAUCGAAACCGCAUGGUUUCGUUUUGAAAGGCGCUUUACGGUGCCGCUGAUGGAUGGACCCGCGGUGCAUUAGCUAGUUGGUGAGGUAACGGCUCACCAAGGCCACGAUGCAUAGCCGACCUGAGAGGGUGAUCGGCCACAUUGGGACUGAGACACGGCCCAAACUCCUACGGGAGGCAGCAGUAGGGAAUCUUCGGCAAUGGACGAAAGUCUGACCGAGCAACGCCGCGUGAGUGAAGAAGGUUUUCGGAUCGUAAAACUCUGUUGUUAGAGAAGAACAAGGGUGAGAGUAACUGUUCACCCCUUGACGGUAUCUAACCAGAAAGCCACGGCUAACUACGUGCCAGCAGCCGCGGUAAUACGUAGGUGGCAAGCGUUGUCCGGAUUUAUUGGGCGUAAAGCGAGCGCAGGCGGUUUCUUAAGUCUGAUGUGAAAGCCCCCGGCUCAACCGGGGAGGGUCAUUGGAAACUGGGAGACUUGAGUGCAGAAGAGGAGAGUGGAAUUCCAUGUGUAGCGGUGAAAUGCGUAGAUAUAUGGAGGAACACCAGUGGCGAAGGCGGCUCUCUGGUCUGUAACUGACGCUGAGGCUCGAAAGCGUGGGGAGCAAACAGGAUUAGAUACCCUGGUAGUCCACGCCGUAAACGAUGAGUGCUAAGUGUUGGAGGGUUUCCGCCCUUCAGUGCUGCAGCUAACGCAUUAAGCACUCCGCCUGGGGAGUACGACCGCAAGGUUGAAACUCAAAGGAAUUGACGGGGGCCCGCACAAGCGGUGGAGCAUGUGGUUUAAUUCGAAGCAACGCGAAGAACCUUACCAGGUCUUGACAUCCUUUGACCACUCUAGAGAUAGAGCUUCCCCUUCGGGGGCAAAGUGACAGGUGGUGCAUGGUUGUCGUCAGCUCGUGUCGUGAGAUGUUGGGUUAAGUCCCGCAACGAGCGCAACCCUUAUUGUUAGUUGCCAUCAUUUAGUUGGGCACUCUAGCAAGACUGCCGGUGACAAACCGGAGGAAGGUGGGGAUGACGUCAAAUCAUCAUGCCCCUUAUGACCUGGGCUACACACGUGCUACAAUGGGAAGUACAACGAGUCGCGAAGUCGCGAGGCUAAGCUAAUCUCUUAAAGCUUCUCUCAGUUCGGAUUGUAGGCUGCAACUCGCCUACAUGAAGCCGGAAUCGCUAGUAAUCGCGGAUCAGCACGCCGCGGUGAAUACGUUCCCGGGCCUUGUACACACCGCCCGUCACACCACGAGAGUUUGUAACACCCGAAGUCGGUGAGGUAACCUUUUUGGAGCCAGCCGCCUAAGGUGGGAUAGAUGAUUGGGGUGAAGUCGUAACAAGGUAGCCGUAUCGGAAGGUGCGGCUGGAUCACCUCCUUU
Molecule: ribosomal RNA, 1564 nt
Filed under: Enterococcus mundtii
Lineage: Bacteria; Bacillati; Bacillota; Bacilli; Lactobacillales; Enterococcaceae
Also listed under: 1 other name
Description: bacterial SSU rRNA
Rfam family: Bacterial small subunit ribosomal RNA
Source: RNAcentral